AGAGUUUGAUCAUGGCUCAGAGCGAACGCUGGCGGCAGGCUUAACACAUGCAAGUCGAGCGGGCCCUUCGGGGUCAGCGGCAGACGGGUGAGUAACACGUGGGAACGUACCCUUUGGUUCGGAAUAACGCUGGGAAACUAGCGCUAAUACCGGAUACGCCCUUUUGGGGAAAGGCUUGCUGCCGAAGGAUCGGCCCGCGUCUGAUUAGCUAGUUGGUGGGGUAAUGGCCUACCAAGGCGACGAUCAGUAGCUGGUCUGAGAGGAUGAUCAGCCACACUGGGACUGAGACACGGCCCAGACUCCUACGGGAGGCAGCAGUGGGGAGUAUUGGACAAUGGGCGCAAGCCUGAUCCAGCCAUGCCGCGUGAGUGAUGAAGGCCUUAGGGUUGUAAAGCUCUUUUGUCCGGGACGAUAAUGACGGUACCGGAAGAAUAAGCCCCGGCUAACUUCGUGCCAGCAGCCGCGGUAAU
Molecule: ribosomal RNA, 470 nt
Filed under: uncultured bacterium
Lineage: Bacteria
Description: bacterial SSU rRNA
Rfam family: Bacterial small subunit ribosomal RNA
Source: RNAcentral